GCAUCGGUUUGGAUUUAUGGCAGGCCCGUCCCCCUGGGUCUCUCACAGUGCCCCAUGUCAGAGCGAAGAGUGGCCUUAAACCAUCACCUGGCCUCUUGCCCAUAGGCUGCAGGCACUGAAGCAGGUAACACAGUG
Small nucleolar RNA from Pteronotus mesoamericanus, 135 nucleotides. RefSeq annotates it as small nucleolar RNA SNORA42/SNORA80 family. The record is from RefSeq and is a predicted model, not a curated record. The transcript has a single exon. NCBI's taxonomy places the organism in Eukaryota, Metazoa, Chordata, Mammalia, Chiroptera, Mormoopidae.